CCUACGGGGGGCAGCAGUGAGGAAUAUUGGUCAAUGGACGAGAGUCUGAACCAGCCAAGUAGCGUGAAGGAUGACUGCCCUAUGGGUUGUAAACUUCUUUUAUAUGGGAAUAAAAUGUUCCACGUGUGGGAUUUUGUAUGUACCAUAUGAAUAAGGAUCGGCUAAGUCCGUGCCAGCAGCCGCGGUAAUACGGAGGAUCCGAGCGUUAUCCGGAUUUAUUGGGUUUAAAGGGAGCGUAGGUGGAUUGUUAAGUCAGUUGUGAAAGUUUGCGGCUCAACCGUAAAAUUGCAGUUGAAACUGGCAGUCUUGAGUACAGUAGAGGUGGGCGGAAUUCGUGGUGUAGCGGUGAAAUGCUUAGAUAUCACGAAGAACUCCGAUUGCGAAGGCAGUUCACUGGACUGCAACUGACACUGAGGCUCGAAAGUGUGGGUAUCAAACAGGAUUAGAUACCCCAGUAGUC
RNAcentral lists this ribosomal RNA (460 nucleotides) under uncultured bacterium. RNAcentral describes it as "partial 16S ribosomal RNA". It matches the Rfam family "Bacterial small subunit ribosomal RNA", at positions 338 to 795 of the family's 1533-position model. The record is from RNAcentral.